GACGUAGGGCGCGAGCGUUGUCCGGAUUUAUUGGGCGUAAAGAGCUCGUAGGCGGCUUGUCGCGUCGACUGUGAAAACCCGCGGCUCAACCGCGGGUCCGCAGUCGAUACGGGCAGGCUAGAGUUCGGUAGGGGAGACUGGAAUUCCUGGUGUAGCGGUGAAAUGCGCAGAUAUCAGGAGGAACACCGAUGGCGAAGGCAGGUCUCUGGGCCGAUACUGACGCUGAGGAGCGAAAGCGUGGGGAGCGAACAGG
This 253-nucleotide unclassified non-coding RNA is filed under the name uncultured Actinomycetes bacterium. Its description in RNAcentral is "uncultured actinobacterium contains 16S-23S intergenic spacer region". It matches the Rfam family "Bacterial small subunit ribosomal RNA", at positions 524 to 776 of the family's 1533-position model. Lineage: Bacteria; Bacillati; Actinomycetota; Actinomycetes. The record is from RNAcentral.